Molecule: ribosomal RNA, 1389 nt
Filed under: Clavibacter michiganensis subsp. michiganensis
Lineage: Bacteria; Bacillati; Actinomycetota; Actinomycetes; Micrococcales; Microbacteriaceae
Description: bacterial SSU rRNA
Rfam family: Bacterial small subunit ribosomal RNA
Source: RNAcentral
ACCAUGCAGUCGAACGGUGAUGUCAGAGCUUGCUCUGGCGGAUCAGUGGCGAACGGGUGAGUAACACGUGAGUAACCUGCCCCCGACUCUGGGAUAACUGCUAGAAAUGGUAGCUAAUACCGGAUAUGACGAUUGGCCGCAUGGUCUGGUCGUGGAAAGAAUUUCGGUUGGGGAUGGACUCGCGGCCUAUCAGGUUGUUGGUGAGGUAAUGGCUCACCAAGCCUACGACGGGUAGCCGGCCUGAGAGGGUGACCGGCCACACUGGGACUGAGACACGGCCCAGACUCCUACGGGAGGCAGCAGUGGGGAAUAUUGCACAAUGGGCGAAAGCCUGAUGCAGCAACGCCGCGUGAGGGAUGACGGCCUUCGGGUUGUAAACCUCUUUUAGUAGGGAAGAAGCGAAAGUGACGGUACCUGCAGAAAAAGCACCGGCUAACUACGUGCCAGCAGCCGCGGUAAUACGUAGGGUGCAAGCGUUGUCCGGAAUUAUUGGGCGUAAAGAGCUCGUAGGCGGUUUGUCGCGUCUGCUGUGAAAUCCCGAGGCUCAACCUCGGGUCUGCAGUGGGUACGGGCAGACUAGAGUGCGGUAGGGGAGAUUGGAAUUCCUGGUGUAGCGGUGGAAUGCGCAGAUAUCAGGAGGAACACCGAUGGCGAAGGCAGAUCUCUGGGCCGUAACUGACGCUGAGGAGCGAAAGCAUGGGGAGCGAACAGGAUUAGAUACCCUGGUAGUCCAUGCCGUAAACGUUGGGAACUAGAUGUGGGGACCAUUCCACGGUCUCCGUGUCGCAGCUAACGCAUUAAGUUCCCCGCCUGGGGAGUACGGCCGCAAGGCUAAAACUCAAAGGAAUUGACGGGGGCCCGCACAAGCGGCGGAGCAUGCGGAUUAAUUCGAUGCAACGCGAAGAACCUUACCAAGGCUUGACAUAUACCGGAAACAUGCAGAAAUGUGUGCCCCGCAAGGUCGGUAUACAGGUGGUGCAUGGUUGUCGUCAGCUCGUGUCGUGAGAUGUUGGGUUAAGUCCCGCAACGAGCGCAACCCUCGUUCUAUGUUGCCAGCACGUAAUGGUGGGAACUCAUAGGAGACUGCCGGGGUCAACUCGGAGGAAGGUGGGGAUGACGUCAAAUCAUCAUGCCCCUUAUGUCUUGGGCUUCACGCAUGCUACAAUGGCCGGUACAAAGGGCUGCGAUACCGUAAGGUGGAGCGAAUCCCAAAAAGCCGGUCUCAGUUCGGAUUGAGGUCUGCAACUCGACCUCAUGAAGUCGGAGUCGCUAGUAAUCGCAGAUCAGCAACGCUGCGGUGAAUACGUUCCCGGGCCUUGUACACACCGCCCGUCAAGUCAUGAAAGUCGGUAACACCCGAAGCCAGUGGCCUAACCGCAAGGGAGGAGC